Small nuclear RNA from Cervus hanglu yarkandensis (Yarkand deer), 103 nucleotides. Lineage: Eukaryota; Metazoa; Chordata; Mammalia; Artiodactyla; Cervidae. The record is from Ensembl.
UUGGACAUCAUCCAAAUUUAAAAUGUUUAUAUUCUUUCAGAGAAGGUUAGCAUGACCCCUGUGCAAGGAUGACAUGUAAAUUCAUGAAGUGCUCCAUAUUGUU